RNAcentral lists this ribosomal RNA (897 nucleotides) under Curvularia hawaiiensis. RNAcentral describes it as "SSU rRNA". It matches the Rfam family "Eukaryotic small subunit ribosomal RNA", at positions 201 to 1105 of the family's 1831-position model. The record is from RNAcentral. Lineage: Eukaryota; Fungi; Ascomycota; Dothideomycetes; Pleosporales; Pleosporaceae.
AUGUGUUUAUUAGAUAAAAAACCAAUGCCCUUCGGGGCUCUUUGGUGAUUCAUGAUAACUUUACGGAUCGCAUAGCCUUGCGCUGGCGACGGUUCAUUCAAAUUUCUGCCCUAUCAACUUUCGAUGGUAAGGUAUUGGCUUACCAUGGUUUCAACGGGUAACGGGGAAUUAGGGUUCGAUUCCGGAGAGGGAGCCUGAGAAACGGCUACCACAUCCAAGGAAGGCAGCAGGCGCGCAAAUUACCCAAUCCCGACACGGGGAGGUAGUGACAAUAAAUACUGAUACAGGGCUCUUUUGGGUCUUGUAAUUGGAAUGAGUACAAUUUAAACCUCUUAACGAGGAACAAUUGGAGGGCAAGUCUGGUGCCAGCAGCCGCGGUAAUUCCAGCUCCAAUAGCGUAUAUUAAAGUUGUUGCAGUUAAAAAGCUCGUAGUUGAAACUUGGGCUGGCUGGCGGGUCCGCCUCACCGCGUGCACUCGUCCGGCCGGGCCUUCCUUCUGAAGAACCUCAUGCCCUUCACUGGGCGUGUUGGGGAAUCAGGACUUUUACUUUGAAAAAAUUAGAGUGUUCAAAGCAGGCCUUUGCUCGAAUACGUUAGCAUGGAAUAAUAAAAUAGGGCGUGCGUUUCUAUUUUGUUGGUUUCUAGAGACGCCGCAAUGAUUAACAGGAACAGUCGGGGGCAUCAGUAUUCAGUUGUCAGAGGUGAAAUUCUUGGAUUUACUGAAGACUAACUACUGCGAAAGCAUUUGCCAAGGAUGUUUUCAUUAAUCAGUGAACGAAAGUUAGGGGAUCGAAGACGAUCAGAUACCGUCGUAGUCUUAACCGUAAACUAUGCCGACUAGGGAUCGGGCGAUGUUCUUUUUCUGACUCGCUCGGCACCUUACGAGAAAUCAAAGUU